GGCGGCGUGCUUACCAUGCAAGUCGAACGGAAAGGCUCCUGCUUGCAGGGGUACUCGAGUGGCGAACGGGUGAGUAACACGUGGGUGAUCUGCCCUGCACUUCGGGAUAAGCCUGGGAAACUGGGUCUAAUACCGGAUAGGACGAUGGUUUGGAUGCCAUUGUGGAAAGUUUUUUCGGUGUGGGAUGAGCUCGCGGCCCAUCAGCUUGUUGGUGGGGUAAUGGCCUACCAAGGCGUCGACGGGUAGCCGGCCUGAGAGGGUGUACGGCCACAUUGGGACUGAGAUACGGCCCAGACUCCUACGGGAGGCAGCAGUGGGGAAUAUUGCACAAUGGGCGCAAGCCUGAUGCAGCGACGCCGCGUGGGGGAUGACGGCCUUCGGGUUGUAAACUCCUUUCGCUAGGGACGAAGCGUUAUGUGACGGUACCUGGAGAAGAAGCACCGGCUAACUACGUGCCAGCAGCCGCGGUAAU
RNAcentral lists this ribosomal RNA (472 nucleotides) under uncultured bacterium. Its description in RNAcentral is "bacterial SSU rRNA". It matches the Rfam family "Bacterial small subunit ribosomal RNA", at positions 38 to 524 of the family's 1533-position model. The record is from RNAcentral.